Long non-coding RNA from Amphiprion ocellaris (clown anemonefish), 3288 nucleotides. NCBI's taxonomy places the organism in Eukaryota, Metazoa, Chordata, Actinopteri, Pomacentridae. The record is from Ensembl.
CUGACAGAAACUGGUUGUGAAAAAUUUAUUAAAUCUUUUACAGUUAGAAGCAGCAGUAGAACUUCUGGAACAUGGAGCCCUGCAACACAAACAGUCAGCUGGUAGCAGAUCCAAAGAACAAAUCCUGAGAGCUCAGAGACCCACCUCCAACAUGUUCAGUAUGCUUUGACUGGAACUUGGUCGCCCUUUGGAGGCAGGUAGCCUUUCGGAGGCAGGUAGCCCUUCGGAGGAAGGUAGCCCUGUGGAGGCAGGUAGCCUGGGUAGCUGAACACUGGACUGUACAGAGAGUCAGUGGGGACGUAGCGGGUCUGAGAGAAAUGGGCUCUUCCUCUCCUGUAGCGGGACCGAGAGUGGAAGUUGUAGACUGGAUCCAGACCGGACACAUCAGUGAAGAAGGGCCCAUCAGGGGUCUGGUCAGAGAUCUGGUCAGUGCUCUGGUAGGUGUAGACACCCGGAUAGCCGCCGUAGAAGCCUGUAUAGCCGCCAUAGACAUACUUGACCUGCUGGUCGGGUUUGGUGGUUGUAGCCCUGUGGAGGCAGGUAGCCUGGGUAGCUGAACACUGGACUGUACAGAGAGUCAGUGGGGACGUAGCGGGUCUGAGAGAAAUGGGCUCUUCCUCUCCUGUAGCGGGACCGAGAGUGGAAGUUGUAGACUGGAUCCAGAUCGGACACGUCAGUGAAGAAGGGCCCAUCAGGGGUCUGGUCAGAGGUCUGGUCAGUGCUCUGGUAGCUGUAGACGCCUGGAUAACCGCCAUAGACGCCUGGAUAACCGCCAUAGACGCCUGGAUAGCCGCCAUAGACAUAUUUGACCUGCUGGUCGGGUUUGGUGGUUGUAGAGGGAACGGUCGGGUCAGGACUUGUUGGUCCGCUGACCCAGGGUCCCGGAUAAUAACCUCUGGGGUUUGGUUCUCUGCCUGCUGCUAGUCCAGAAUCUGAGGAGAAACAGGUUAGUAGGAGACAGCUGAGAGCUUCAGAACAGCUCAGUGAGCUUCAUUAGCAUCCACUGACCUUGUACAGGCAGACAGGUGAUGCUUCCAACCAGCAGACAGGAAAUCCACAACAGCCUGAAGACACACCAGAACAUUUCAGAGCAAAUUCAGUUUACAGAGAUUAAGUCUGGCAGCAAGGGUGCCAGAAAUUGAAAUAAUGCAACAUCCCAAAUAGUAAUAGUUCCCUUGUACAGUUACUAGACAAAUAUAGAUCUGGACAUUUACUAAAGUUCUGACCCUUUUUAGUACGGUCAAUAUGUAAAUUAUGAGAUUGUACCAAUGGUCUAUACACUUAAACUGAAGAUUUUAAUUGUUAAACCAUUUUCCAAGAAUCCAUUUUUGAAACAUUGCGGUGAUUGAAAUAUACUUGAAAGUCAAAACUAUAACAUAGAUUUGAUAAAUAUUUACAGUUCCAGCACAUUUGCAUCUUAAAGUUAAAACUAAUUUUCCAACCUUUCUACCUAUGUGGAGUUCAACAAAACACAAAAACUCUAAAAACAACAAGCCAUUCAAAAUUAAAACAGUGUUUAGACUCCACAGAUUCUGAUCUCAGCCUCCUGCUUCAGUGACUCACCUCAUUGUGAUUGUGAGUAGAUCUAAAGCUGACCCGUGACCUGCCUCUGACACGCUGCAGACGCACAAAAACACACAAAGUUAAACUGCAGACACAAAGAAGACAAUGAAAGCAGAGCCAGCCGUUACCUUCUAGCAGAGCUGCAACUUCGUCCCAACAGGAGCUGAUCUGGGGAGCUUCAACCUGCAGCAGCUGCUUUAUAUGAAGCUCAGAGCAGAAGCAGCUGAUUGGAGCUGAUUGAUCAGAGACAGCAGCUGAUCGUCAAUGAAGCUCAGCUGCACAUUGUUGAAGCUCUGAGAUCAGUCUCACCUGCUGGAAGAUACAUUAAAAAAAAAAAAAAGAUCUCAACUGGAAAAUCCUCCUACAGUCCAACACUGAUGAAGAAAUGAGUCUGAAAACAUUCCUCUGCUGAAACACAAACAUGGAAAUCAGAGUCUGAAGGGACUGUUGAUGUUUUAUUGCUUCAACGAUGUGCAGCUGAGCUUCACUGAUGAUCAGCUGCUGUCUCUGAUCAAUCAGCUCCAAUCAGCUGCUUCUGCCCUGAGCUUCAUAUAAAGCAGCUGCUGCAGGUUGAAGCUCCAUAGAUCAGCUCCUGUUGGGACGAAGUUGCAGCUCUGCUAGAAGCACGUUGGAGGCAGGUCACGGCUCGGCUUUAGAUCUACUCACAAUCACAAUGAGGCUGUUGUGGAUUUCCUGUCUGCUGGUUGGAAGCAUCACCUGUCUGCCUGUACAAGAUUCUGGACUAGCAGCAGGCAGAGAACCAAACCCCAGAGGUUAUUAUCCGGGACCCUGGGUCAGCGGACCAACAAGUCCUGACCCGACCGUCCCCACUACAACCACCAAACCCGACCAGCAGCUCAAGUAUGUCUAUGGCGGCUAUCCAGGCGUCUAUGGCGGUUAUCCAGGCGUCUACAGCUACCAGAGCACUGACCAGACCUCUGACCAGACCCCUGAUGGGCCCUUCUUCACUGAUGUGUCCGAUCUGGAUCCAGUCUACAACUUCCACUCUCGGUCCCGCUACAGGAGAGGAAGAGCCCAUUUCUCUCAGACCCGCUACGUCCCCACUGACUCUCUGUACAGUCCAGUGUUCAGCUACCCAGGCUACCUGCCUCCACAGGGCUACCUUCCUCCAAAGGGUGACCAAGUUCAAGUCAAAGCCUACUGAACAUGUUGGAGGUGGGGCUCUGAGCUCAUGAAUUGUUCUAUGGAUUUGCUGCCACCUGACUGUUGCAGGUCUCCAUGUUCUAGAAGUUCUACUGCUGCUUCUAACUGUACAAGAUUUAAUAAAUGAUUUUCAGAACUAGCCUUUGUCUCAGUCUUCAUCACUUGAUCCUGAACAUGUCUGACAGCUGUGCUAAAUGAAGGCUUCUUACAGGCAGCAUUGCAUGACUAUUAGCUUUAGUCUUCAAGCAUUUAAAAGCUGCAUCUUGUCUCUGAAGGUCCCGGUAGUGAUUUAGGGAGAAGAACUGGAUCUAAACAUCUCUGUUGGGCCUGCUUCACAUUACAGCCUGCGUGUUUGAGAUUAUUUCUGCUGCUUUUUUUUUUUUUUUUUUUUUUAAAAACCUGAGGUCAAAGUUUUUCCCCAGCUUGUAUGCUUUGAAACCUGUUUGCUUAUGUAAUGUACUUCGAACAUGCCAUCAGCACUUGGUAAGGUGAAGGCCAUUCCAAAUUUGACUGGAAAGAACCCAAACUUCACUGACGCAGCCAUCUGCCUCAACUGUUAUG